This 210-nucleotide ribosomal RNA is filed under the name Avenzoaria totani. RNAcentral describes it as "partial 16S ribosomal RNA". The record is from RNAcentral. Lineage: Eukaryota; Metazoa; Arthropoda; Arachnida; Sarcoptiformes; Avenzoariidae.
UAUGAAUGAAUGUUCUAAAAAUUUUUUUUUGUUUUUUCUUAAUUUAUAUUUUUGUUGAAAAUAACAAUAUAGUUUUCUAAGACUAAAAGACCCUAAAAUUUUUAUAAUUAAAAAAUUAUUUGGUUGGGGAAAUAAUUGAUUUUUAAAUAUUUAGAUAUUUUUUUAUAAAAGAACUUUUAUUAAAGAUGAGUUUGUUAAAAUACUCUAGGG